Molecule: long non-coding RNA, 2754 nt
Filed under: Sus scrofa (pig)
Lineage: Eukaryota; Metazoa; Chordata; Mammalia; Artiodactyla; Suidae
Description: lncRNA (ENSSSCG00025061588.1)
Source: RNAcentral
UCUCAGUCAUGGCUGGGGUGGCUCAUACAUGAUCGCUCAGCACUGAGAACCCCUGGUCGUCAUAGCGGGUCACCCAAACCUGUCCUCUGGCUCUGAGCCCUGCGCUGGCCUGGCUGCUUCCGGGUCCCCAGGUCGGGCAGGAAACCCUGGUGGUGCAGAGGCUCGGGGUGACUGCAGGAGGAGACGCCCGCAGGCGGGCAGAGCAGGAUGUGGAGCAGGCCAGGGCCUGCACCCCAGCGCCAGGUGAGGAAUUGCUCUCAGCUGGAGGUGGGGCCCGGGGAAGGCGCAGCAGCGGGAAAGAGCACACAGGUGACAUCCAGGGACACCCUCGCACUUGCCCUUGACCUCCGACUUCACCACUGCUCAGCGGGUCAAAGCAACCUGUCCCCAGCCCUCGGCCUCGGCCCCACCUGCUGUGCCCUCACCUGAGGUCCUGCGCUGGAGCCUCCAGGCGAGAGCAGUGUCCCUCCUGCCUCCCUCACUGUCCCCUUUGGAUCCGACAGCUGUGCCUCUCUGCCUUGGCUCGGUCUCCAGCCGAGGGGGCAUGGACGCAGGUAGGGAGCGGGCCCUCCCGGGUGUGAAGGUGGCCGCACCUUCGGGGACGUCAGCGACCUCAGAGACCUCAGAGAGGAUGAGAAGCAAAACCCACGCGGCGAGGCUCAGAAGCUGGACGGCGUGUCCGGCGCUGGUCCUCGGCUCCUCUGCAUGGAAGAAGAGUGAACAGACUCAGAGGUGCUGGCGUGGGGACAGCUGUCCCCCAGCCCAUGGGGACAAGAGCUAGGCGAAUGGUGUGGGGGAGGUGGAGGCAGAGAGCUGAGGGCAGGGAACAGGAAGGACAGCAGGGCCUCGGCCGCGUUGGGGCCACCAGGAGAUGCUUCACUGGACGUGAGGGGUCGGCGGUGCACAGGCUCUGGAACCACAGACUCAGGGACUUGGGGCCCCCAGCGGGUCCCUGCAGCCCAUCCCGGGUGGGGGCUUUGCUCCCAGGGCAGGGGGUAAGCAGGCAUGGGCUUAUGCCUCCCUCCAGCAACCACGGAGAGACAGGAGGCAGCCAGAUGAGCACAGAGCCCUUCAGCACUGGGUGGUGCCCAGGUGCCCAGGCUUCAGCGAGGAUGAGCUUGUGCUGGUCAUAGGGACGUAACCCCUCUGUCCAGAAGGUGAAUCCACCCACACUCGGCGGCCACAGAGCGUCUGCAUGGCCGCCUGAGCAGCCACAGCUCAGAGAGUCCCAGGCCAUAUGCGCUCAUUCCACGCCAUCCCACAGUGACACACAGGGCGUGGGGGUCUCAGCCUUUGUGCCUGGACACAAUGGACAUGGUGAGGACUUUACAAAAACGUCACACCCGGCAAAAGAAAUCAUGCAUUUGACCAAGAGAAGUGAAAACUAAGGUUUGGUUCAUUCGCACAGAGUCCUAGAAGGUUAGCAACACAGGGGGAGGGCAGUCAGCCCGAGGAGAACCUCAUUUUAUAUACAAAGAAAUUCGUUUGAAAGGAGACCUUUAUGGCAGCCAGAGGACUGCCCUGGAGGAUGAGCAGGCAGCAGGCUUGUGACGCCAGGGGGGUGUGGGUGUGACGCCAAGGUCGGUGUGAUGUCAGGCCCCCCCCCAAACCCAGGUGUGACCACAGGGGGCCAGGCUUGCCCUCCAGGGCCUGCCCGCCCUGUGUCUCCCCGUGGCCUGCCAGCUGCAUGAGCAACCACAGACGAGGACUUGUGCACAGAGACACCCGAGAGGCCCCUCCGUGUGUCCACACAUCCCCAUCUGUCCCGAGCUCAGUACCGCCUGCAUCCUAGCCAUCUGCCACUCGCUGUGUCCUCCUGCUGCCAUUGAAUCCCAAGGGAACCACUGCUCUGCAAGACUCACAUCCUUGUGUUGACUUUAAACCCCCCUGUCCACUCACCCACCCUGCCCAUGUGCCCUCUCUCACACUCACACAUGCACACAUACACACACACACACACACACACACACAGGAGCACACAUACACACAUGCACUUGCCACUCACACACACACACAGGGUCCCGAGUUCCAGGCAAGAGGACGUUUGGAGCCCACCCUGUCCCCCGACACCCCCACGGCCCCCACCGCUCAUCACCACCACACCACGGCCAGUGUCCCUCGGUCCUCAGGAAACAGAGCUUGAAGGAAACACAAAGGCCUAUGUGGAAAAUUCCAAUAAAGCAAGAAACAAGAUUUUCCACUCCCCCCAUGGCGAGCCCUUUGAGCACUUCAGUCGCUGCUGAGGUCAGAAAAGCUGGUGGUGUGGGCUCGGCCAUCCGUAGAAAGCCUUCUGCCAUGCUAUCGCUGGGAGAGAAGCACGAACACAGAGGCCCCGCAGUCAAGCCCUGGGGGCCAGUGGGAUGGUGGGCGGCGCUCCGAGAGGCAGGAGCCUCAGCAGAUGGCCCAGCUCCCACCUGUGCAGUCUGAGCGGCAUGCUGUCCCUUGUUUCUCAGCAUCCCUGAGCCGGCCCACUCUGAACACACCCAUCCCUGUGGUCCCUUAGGGCUGGAAACCACGACCGCGAUGUUUAAGGUCCAGGAGCAAAGAGAACUUGAUUUUACAAAGAGCUUGUGUGUUGGUUCUGACAGGGAAGGACCACCAGCCAUGCCCUCCAGGUACCUUCCCACCAUCACAGACCCCUGUUCCCCCCGCCCCCUCCCUCUCGUCCAGGGUGUUGUGCAGUUGGAGCCCACAGCAUCGUCAUCAGUUUGCUUCUUGAAAAACCACAGUAAGCAAAGGAUUGACACGCAGCAG